This is a long non-coding RNA of Calidris pygmaea (Spoon-billed sandpiper), 1773 nucleotides long. Lineage: Eukaryota; Metazoa; Chordata; Aves; Charadriiformes; Scolopacidae. The record is from Ensembl.
CGAUGCAGAGGUGAGCUUCAGAAUACCUUCUGUUCUGCAGCACAGGCGGUGGCACUUUGGCUGCUGAUGCUAACUUUGGAGCUCACCAGGUAGGACGCCUACAGCAGCAGAGGUUUAAAAGUACAAAGUACAGAAAGCUGUGGAUUGGGAAUCCCACUCAUGUGCUUUCAGAUUUAUGCUGCUAUAGGUAUCCCACCUAGCCAGCUUAACAGUUAGCCGGGAUAUCUCUACAGCAGUAGCCAACACGUCAAAAUCUGUUGUGCAUCUGUGGCAGAACUUGGGCUUCUGUUCAGAUCAUCUGCAUCCCACUCCAGAUGCAAUCACUUGUUGUUUGAUCCUCGGAGAGAAAUCUGCAGUGAUGUAUUUUCAUCUCCAGGAAAUCCAUACCAAAAGUCAAACUUUUUUCUCUCCAGGAAAGCCAUGAGAGCAGCCCUGAAAGUCCAGGAAUUGAACUCUGCCUCCAGCAAGGCACAGAUUUUGAUUCCUCCUCUAGAAGAUCUGGUUCUGGUUAGCAAUGAAGAUUGAUUAUUACAAGAGAUGAACGACUACCCUGCUGGAGAUGCUCGUAUUCCGUUCAAUAGAGAGGCUUGCUUGUUUCUCAACACUUCAGAAAAGAAACGACUAUUGUGUUUGGUUUGGAAUGAAUGAAUAUAAUCUCAAAUCUUUUGUUUGCAUCACUGUGAGAUGUGCCAUUUUCUCAAAUGAAAGCCCGGUGUAUUUGCAGAGCAGGCAGCAGAGGAGCUGAGAAAAAACACCCUGAGUUCCCAGAGGUACAAGUGGACUCGUUUGUAUUUAUGGGUAAAUCAACAACAAGCUGAUGUGAUUAAACAGUGACUCCAUCAGUGACUUGGCCCUGUUCUUUUCUCCAUCUGGUAGGUAGGCAGGCAGAUUAAAUUUAUGCCAUGUGUUUAUUUUUCCUGUAACAAAAUGAGUUGCAUUUAUAUUUCUAGUCACUAUGAGGUGGUAACAACCUUACAAAAUAUAUUGAUUCACGUUAAAAAAUGAGGAGUUAGCAGGAACACAAUGACAUGCCACCCAACGCACAAUGUUUUAUUUAAAAGAAGUGGCAGCACACCAUAUUUUUUAUUAAAAAAAAUCUCAAUUACAGACCUUAAAGAAAAUUAAAUUUAUAGUUGAGCUCAGAGUUUUGAAGCUACCAGUUGUUUCCUGGAAGUGACUUUGAAAUGAGUUUUGGGAAAUCAUUUUAGUAUUGACUUGGGCCAUAAUGGUUGGCUGUUGCUUUUUUGUGUAAGAUUGAUUAAAUUACUCUGAACAAGCUCCAAGUCCAUGUCCUUCUCGGAGGCCAAUUGUGAAUGACCAUAAUACACUCUCUAAAAAAUAUUUCAGAAAGUAAAUAAUCUCUAAACCUGGAAGCAUGUCAUUGCGUUCUUACAAGAAUAAGCAAAUGAAUUUCGUUCCUUGUCUUAACAUACAUCCCUUCUUCUUUUUAUACCACACCCUUUCUCUGGUUUUAAAAGGCUAGGGUUAUUUCCUUCUAUACAUUACAAUAAGAGAUAAUUUUGACUAAGAAAGGAGUAGCUAAGAAAUAAGUGUAUUGACAGUAAUAAGAAUUGGCAAUUGUACUCCUGAUUUCAGCCUUUAUCUGCCUUUCUGAAAUGUAGGACCCCUCUAGUUAUUUCUUCAUACUUCAGUAAACUCAAGUGAAAUUAGGACCACUUUAUAGUAGGCUCUAUACAAGCACAUGGGAAUGAAUGCUCUAAAUCUAAAAAAAAGCUUUGAAAAUAAAUGCCAAAUAUGCAGAGUCCCUAAACA